Molecule: ribosomal RNA, 215 nt
Filed under: uncultured bacterium
Lineage: Bacteria
Description: partial 16S ribosomal RNA
Rfam family: Bacterial small subunit ribosomal RNA
Source: RNAcentral
UGGGAACGUACCCUUUGGUUCGGAACAACCCAGGGAAACUUGGGCUAAUACCGGAUAAGUCCGUAAGGAGAAAGAUUUAUCGCCAAAGGAUCGGCCCGCGUCUGAUUAGCUAGUUGGUAGGGUAAUGGCUACCAAGGCUACGAUCAGUAGCUGGUCUGAGAGGAUGAUCAGCCACACUGGGACUGAGAUACGGCCCAGACUCCUACGGGAGGCAG